RNAcentral lists this ribosomal RNA (444 nucleotides) under uncultured bacterium. Its description in RNAcentral is "partial 16S ribosomal RNA". It matches the Rfam family "Bacterial small subunit ribosomal RNA", at positions 338 to 795 of the family's 1533-position model. The record is from RNAcentral.
CCUACGGGUGGCAGCAGUGGGGAAUAUUGGGCAAUGGAGGCAACUCUUACCCAGCAAUGCCGCGUGAAUGAAGAAGGUCUUCGGAGGGUAAAGUUCUUUAAUUGGGGACGAAAAAAAUGACGGUACACAAGGAAUAAGCCACGGCUAACGACGUGCCAGCAGCCGCGGUAAGACGUAGGGGGCAAGCGUUGUUCGGAAUGACUGGGCUUAAAGGGGGUGUCGGCGGUGUAGCAAGUUAGAAGGGAAAUACCUUGAGCUUAACUCCGGUGCUGCUUCUAAAACUGCUAUACUUGAGGGCAGUAGAGGCAAGUGGAAUUCCUAGUGUAGCGGUGACAUGCGUAGAUAUUAGGAGGAACAUCAGUGGCGAAGGCGCCUUUCUGGACUGUAACUGACGCUGAGGCACGAAAGUGUGGGGAGCAAACAGGAUUAGAUACCCGGGUAGUC